CUACUCUUGACAUCCACGGAAUUGUGCGGAGAUGCGCAAGUGCCUUCGGGAACCGUGAGACAGGUGCUGCAUGGCUGUCGUCAGCUCGUGUUGCGAAAUGUUGGGUUAAGUCCCGCAACGAGCGCAACCCUUGUCCUUUGUUGCCAGCGCGUAGAGGCGGGAACUCAAAGGAGACUGCCGGUGAUAAACCGGAGGAAGGUGGGGACGACGUCAAGUCAUCAUGGCCCUUACGAGUAGGGCUACACACGUGCUACAAUGGCGUAUACAAAGGGAUGCGAACCUGCGAGGGAAAGCGGAACUCAGAAAGUACGUCGUAGUCCGGAUUGGAGUCUGCAACUCGACUCCAUGAAGUCGGAAUCGCUAGUAAUCGUAGAUCAGAAUGCUACGGUGAAUACGUUCCC
RNAcentral lists this ribosomal RNA (401 nucleotides) under Candidatus Williamhamiltonella defendens. RNAcentral's name for it is "bacterial SSU rRNA". It matches the Rfam family "Bacterial small subunit ribosomal RNA", at positions 975 to 1375 of the family's 1533-position model. The record is from RNAcentral. Lineage: Bacteria; Pseudomonadati; Pseudomonadota; Gammaproteobacteria; Enterobacterales; Enterobacteriaceae.